This 624-nucleotide long non-coding RNA is filed under the name Cicer arietinum (chickpea). RNAcentral describes it as "long non-coding RNA (CARI_LNC003801)". The record is from RNAcentral. Lineage: Eukaryota; Viridiplantae; Streptophyta; Magnoliopsida; Fabales; Fabaceae.
ACAUUUGUAACAACAUAAAUAUUUUAAAAGGCAAUAAGAAGUAACCAAACCAAAACUUUAAUAAUAACAAUUAAACUAAUUUCUUCACAUAUGGUAAGUGGUCAAGAAUAAUGUAAGUUCCACAAUCUAUAAUUUCAUCAAUAUACGGAAACAAAAUAUUUAUUGUUGUUUUCUCAUAUUGACUAUAAAUGAUCUUUAACAUUAACAAAUCAAUCACGUGUUGAUAAAUCAUAUAUAAAGUUGAGAGGAUUUUGAAUUUGGUUAUAACCUCCAUAACCCAUUUACUUAAAAUAUGGUACCACCAAAAUGAACCAUUUUCUUGUGAGAACAUUGCACCAAAACAAGAAAACAAAUGAUGCGGCACACCGAAGACAAACAAACUAGCAUUGCACUUUGACGACGAAAUGAUAGAUAAAACAAAAAACAAAUUAAAUUUUUGUUGAAAACUAUUUAUUUAAAUAAAAUGAGUGAAUCUAAACUCAAAACAUGGUCCUAAACUUCUCAUUUGAUGGAUGAAAAAGAAGUGAAAGACUAAGUUUUUUUCUCAUGGAGCUGGCACUAAGUUUUUCAAGAGAUCGAGUAGCUUUAUUUUCGUUGAUCAAAACACAAUAGUUUGUCUUCAAA